CCUACGGGUGGCAGCAGUGAGGAAUAUUGGUCAAUGGGCGCGAGCCUGAACCAGCCAAGUAGCGUGAAGGAUGACUGCCCUACGGGUUGUAAACUUCUUUUAUAAAGGAAUAAAGUGAGGCACGUGUGCCUUUUUGUAUGUACUUUAUGAAUAAGGAUCGGCUAACUCCGUGCCAGCAGCCGCGGUAAUACGGAGGAUCCGAGCGUUAUCCGGAUUUAUUGGGUUUAAAGGGAGCGUAGAUGGUUUGUUAAGUCAGUUGUGAAAGUUUGCGGCUCAACCGGAAAAGUGCAAUUGAUACUGGCAGACUUGAGUACAGAUGAGGUAGGCGGAACUCGAGGUGUAGCGGUGAAAUGCUUAGAUAUAACGAAGAACCCCGAUGGCGAAGGCAGCUCACUAAACUGUAACUGACAUUGAUGCUCGAAAGCGUGGGUAGCAAACAGGAUUAGAUACCCGUGUAGUC
This 460-nucleotide ribosomal RNA is filed under the name uncultured bacterium. RNAcentral's name for it is "partial 16S ribosomal RNA". It matches the Rfam family "Bacterial small subunit ribosomal RNA", at positions 338 to 795 of the family's 1533-position model. The record is from RNAcentral.